AUGGGGACGGGGACGGGGACGGGGACGGGGAUGGGAUGGGGAUGGGGAUGGGGACAGGAUGGGGACGGAGAUGGGGAUGGGGAUGGUGGAAGAGCCGCGGGGGCACCGGGCCGGGGCCGUUCCGUUCCGUUCCGUUCCGCAGCCGCCCGGGGUUCGUUGUGCCCGGGGGCGGUGCCGGCCGAGGCGGGGCGGCCCCGCUUUCGCUUUCGUUUCCCGGUGGCUGCCGUGGGGCCCGAGCCGGGCCGUAGGUUACCGGGACCGAGCUGCGCGGAGCUGCGCGGAGCUGGGGCGGCGGCACCGGGGGUCGGGAGGAAAGGAACGGGCACGACCGGCCCCGGGGGCUCGGGCAGCGGCGGAACGGACCCGGGGGGAGAGGAGAGGCUCCGAGGGGUGCCCGGUACCCGGUGCCGCCUCGCCGGGGGCAUGGCAGGCCACACGGUGGAGGUGCGGGGCAUCCCCACCGACCUGCCCCCCGACAGGGUGGCCGACAAGCUCACCAUCCACUUCUUGCGCUCCCGGAACGGCGGCGGGGAGAUCGCCGAUGUCCAGGUGCUGCCGGGGGCACGGGCGUGUGCCCUCAUCACCUUCGAGGCUCUGGCAGUGGCCCAGAGGAUCCUGAAGACGAAGAAUCACGUCCUGUCCAUCGGGGGGAAGAAAUAUCCCCUGGAGGUGACGGCGCACGUGGUGGAGCUGAGCCCCGACGAGAUCUUUGUAUGCGCUUCCAUGGUGGUUGACUACGGCAAGCUGCCCGCUGGCAAAACCCUCCUGAAGAACCUGCAGAAAGGCCACAGCAGCGUGCAGCUCGACUUUGACCACAAGAACACGCGUUGCAGAGUCGAGGGACCAUUCACCGAGGUUCAGGCCUUCAGCAGAGACCUGCUGGGCAGCCUGAACCUCAAGAGCCAAGCAGCUGGAGCUACCCUGCCUCCGGGAUCCAGCCACGUGGCCAAAGACACCAAAAUGCACGAUCACCAGCAAGUGCCUCCCUCCACUGGGUCAGCACUGAAGACCACAGCGCUGUCACGCUGGGACUACGGGAGCGAAGGGGCAGCUGGAGGCCCGUCACCUCGAGGCCCAGUGGAUGGGGAAGCUGUGGGACAGCUGGAGGACUUUUCCCUCGUGAUGGACUCGGACAUUUACUUGUACAUGCAGAGGCUCUGUGCUGCCGAGUACCAAGGUGUGCUGCAGCAGCACUUCGUGGAUGUGGUGGACAUCAGCAACGAUGAUAUCACCAUACUGUACCUCCAGCCGUCCCCGGGGACGUCUGGGGACACGGACGCCUUGCGACAGGCUCACCUGGCCCUGCAGCAGCUCUACCAGCAACUGGAACUGAGCUUGCGUAAGGAGAAGAUCUCGAAGCGGGGACUGGGCCAAGCAGUACAUCCAGCACUUCAGUGCCAGAAGCACCCCGCAGACGGUUGUCAUGCUCAGCAGCUCCCAGCCCUCCCGGCCAGCAGUGUCCCACGCCACAGAGGCUGCAGGACACAAGCCCAAAGCUCCUGUGGACACCUCGUCCCCAAAGCUGAGCCCAGGCAGGCCAGAAGGGAAAGCUGA
Molecule: long non-coding RNA, 1554 nt
Filed under: Anas platyrhynchos (mallard)
Lineage: Eukaryota; Metazoa; Chordata; Aves; Anseriformes; Anatidae
Description: lncRNA (ENSAPLG00020009311.1)
Source: RNAcentral